This 218-nucleotide unclassified non-coding RNA is filed under the name plant metagenome. Its description in RNAcentral is "partial contains small subunit ribosomal RNA and internal transcribed spacer 1". The stretch from base 1 to 46 matches the Rfam family "Eukaryotic small subunit ribosomal RNA", at positions 1786 to 1831 of the family's 1831-position model. The record is from RNAcentral.
AAGUCGUAACAAGGUUUCCGUAGGUGAACCUGCGGAAGGAUCAUUAUUGGAUUUACGGGCGAGGGUUGUCGCUGGCCUCUCGGGGGCAUGUGCACGCCCGAGCCAUCCCCCAACAAACGCCGUGGGCCCUUCCGGGCCCCGCGUAUAUCUACUCUGAAUGUGUAUAGAAUGUAAACCAUUUGUUUGCCCUGAAAAAGCAAACGAAAAAUUAGUACAAC